Long non-coding RNA from Branchiostoma floridae (Florida lancelet), 388 nucleotides. RefSeq lists it as uncharacterized. The record is from RefSeq and is a predicted model, not a curated record. The transcript is spliced from 3 exons. NCBI's taxonomy places the organism in Eukaryota, Metazoa, Chordata, Leptocardii, Amphioxiformes, Branchiostomatidae.
UUGUCACCGAUCCUCUGACUUCUCUCCUUGAAUGUAGAUAAAGAGAUCUGUCCGAGUGGAGUCACCAUCAACAAGGCAGAGGUGUGUGACGGUACAGACGACUGUGGAGACAAUACAGACGAGCAGAGCUGCUGCGAGCGGCAAGGUAGACUGGCCUGCAGCAAUGGACAGUGUAUAGAUUCACAAAAAAAUGUGUGCCAAAACCCACAUUCCCUGCUUUGGUGAACCGAAAGGACAAUAUGCUAGAUGUGACGACGUGGAGGAUUGUUUGGAUGGCAGCGACGAGUCCUGCUCACCCUCUGCCUGUGACAAUGGAGCCCUGUUCCAUCAGCUUUCUCGGUGUGACGGCAGAGACGACUGUGGGGACAACAGUGACGAGCAGAACUGU